AUAGUAACGAUUGUUGGGUCAUGAGAACUUUAGGUCAUGGGCAUCUGGGCAUCCGCUCUUUUUUUAAGUCAUAGGUGCCUGCAACAUGUAAGCGUACUAUAGAUAGGAAGAUCAGUGCACAUCUAAGAAGAUCAGCGCACAUCUAUGGAUGAGCAUCGGUUGGACAUCCUGAAGAUGAGUGAGUGCUGAUCCAAAUAUCUUGAGAGAUGAGCGAGCACC
This 219-nucleotide long non-coding RNA is filed under the name Elaeis guineensis (African oil palm). RNAcentral's name for it is "long non-coding RNA (EGUI_LNC018192)". The record is from RNAcentral. Lineage: Eukaryota; Viridiplantae; Streptophyta; Magnoliopsida; Arecales; Arecaceae.